Molecule: ribosomal RNA, 782 nt
Filed under: Salmonella enterica subsp. enterica serovar Enteritidis
Lineage: Bacteria; Pseudomonadati; Pseudomonadota; Gammaproteobacteria; Enterobacterales; Enterobacteriaceae
Description: partial 23S ribosomal RNA
Rfam family: Bacterial large subunit ribosomal RNA
Source: RNAcentral
CCACCCGAGACUCAGUGAAAUUGAACUCGCUGUGAAGAUGCAGUGUACCCGCGGCAAGACGGAAAGACCCCGUGAACCUUUACUAUAGCUUGACACUGAACAUUGAGCCUUGAUGUGUAGGAUAGGUGGGAGGCUUUGAAGUGUGGACGCCAGUCUGCAUGGAGCCGACCUUGAAAUACCACCCUUUAAUGUUUGAUGUUCUAACGUGGACCCGUUACCCGGGUUGCGGACAGUGUCUGGUGGGUAGUUUGACUGGGGCGGUCUCCUCCUAAAGAGUAACGGAGGAGCACGAAGGUUGGCUAAUCCUGGUCGGACAUCAGGAGGUUAGUGCAAUGGCAUAAGCCAGCUUGACUGCGAGCGUGACGGCGCGAGCAGGUGCGAAAGCAGGUCAUAGUGAUCCGGUGGUUCUGAAUGGAAGGGCCAUCGCUCAACGGAUAAAAGGUACUCCGGGGAUAACAGGCUGAUACCGCCCAAGAGUUCAUAUCGACGGCGGUGUUUGGCACCUCGAUGUCGGCUCAUCACAUCCUGGGGCUGAAGUAGGUCCCAAGGGUAUGGCUGUUCGCCAUUUAAAGUGGUACGCGAGCUGGGUUUAGAACGUCGUGAGACAGUUCGGUCCCUAUCUGCCGUGGGCGCUGGAGAACUGAGGGGGGCUGCUCCUAGUACGAGAGGACCGGAGUGGACGCAUCACUGGUGUUCGGGUUGUCAUGCCAAUGGCACUGCCCGGUAGCUAAAUGCGGAAGAGAUAAGUGCUGAAAGCAUCUAAGCACGAAACUUGCCCCGAG